GGACAUUACCGAGUUUACAACUCCCAAACCCCUGUGAACAUACCUAUACGUUGCCUCGGCGGAUCAGCCCGCGCCCCGUAAAAAGGGACGGCCCGCCCGAGGACCCCUAAACUCUGUUUUUAGUGGAACUUCUGAGUAAAACAAACAAAUAAAUCAAAACUUUCAACAACGGAUCUCUUGGUUCUGGCAUCGAUGAAGAACGCAGCAAAAUGCGAUAAGUAAUGUGAAUUGCAGAAUUCAGUGAAUCAUCGAAUCUUUGAACGCACAUUGCGCCCGCCAGUAUUCUGGCGGGCAUGCCUGUUCGAGCGUCAUUUCAACCCUCAAGCUCAGCUUGGUGUUGGGACUCGCGGUAACCCGCGUUCCCCAAAUCGAUUGGCGGUCACGUCGAGCUUCCAUAGCGUAGUAAUCAUACACCUCGUUACUGGUAAUCGUCGCGGCCACGCCGUAAAACCCCAACUUCUGAAUGUUGACCUCGGAUCAGGUAGGAAUACCCGCUGAACUUAAGCAUAUCAAUAAGCGGAGGGAAAAAAACCAACA
RNAcentral lists this ribosomal RNA (537 nucleotides) under Fusarium sp. CPK3469. RNAcentral describes it as "eukaryotic LSU rRNA". The stretch from base 158 to 311 matches the Rfam family "5.8S ribosomal RNA". Lineage: Eukaryota; Fungi; Ascomycota; Sordariomycetes; Hypocreales; Nectriaceae. The record is from RNAcentral.